Molecule: ribosomal RNA, 253 nt
Filed under: uncultured bacterium
Lineage: Bacteria
Description: partial 16S ribosomal RNA
Rfam family: Bacterial small subunit ribosomal RNA
Source: RNAcentral
UACGAAGGGGGCGAGCGUUGUUCGGAAUUACUGGGCGUAAAGGGCGCGUAGGCGGCGACUCUAGUCAGAUGUGAAAGUCCUGGGCUUAACCUGGGGACUGCAUUUGAUACUGGGUUGCUUGAAUUCGGGAGAGGAUAGCGGAAUUCCCAGUGUAGAGGUGAAAUUCGUAGAUAUUAGGAAGAACACCGGUGGCGAAGGCGGCUCUCUGGAACGGUACUGACGCUGAGACGCGAAAGCAUGGGGAGCGAACAGG